UCCUAUUUUGUCCAGAUGUCCAUUGUAAAGCAGCAAUUGUCUUGCUUAAAGUUGGUUUUGUUCUAACUCUAAGUUGGAUUUUUUCUUAUUUUUCAGCACUAUGAAAACUGUCAUUAAAACCUACUCCAGCAAGAAACCUGUGCAACCAAUUGAAGUGAAAGACGAUCCUUUUGAUGUAUUGCGGGAUGCACCUAAGCCUAGCCCUUCCUCGCCAGUCUCUGUUUUUGACGCCCUGUUGGCUACCUCCAAGUCGAGCCCUUCACCUUCAGAUAAUUCAAACAAAGAUGAUUCUCUAUUGGCUUUACCAGAUGAGUCACUAUGUCAGAGAUUCCUGCAAGAGGUCAGCUUUUCUUCAGCUGGAUCACUUGAGCGUAUCAACUCGGAAAUAGAGCUUACAAAAAGUAGUGGUGAUGCAUACAAACUCACAACUUCGAGUGAUGACCCUGGCUCUCAAAAUGCUAAGAAGAAAAAAAAGAAGAAAAGAAAAAAUCAAACCAAAAAUCAAGUGAUCAGGAAAAGGGAACCUCCUACCUCAAAAGUGAAAAUGAGUUCUUUUCAACAUCAGUUGAAUCAAAUACCGUACUUUCCUCAAGAGAAGAAGACAAAGAAAAUGACCACGUAGGCUCAACUAAAAGAGGCAAGAAAAAGAGACAGACAAAAAAAAUGAGAAUGAGAAAUGUGAAAAUGAGGCAAAAGCUUCAUCUGAUGAGCGCUGCGAAAUUCCUAUAGUGGUCAAACCCCCUACCCCCUCAGUAAAUGUUCCAACUAAGAGAUUACGUCAGCCUACAUCAGAUAAAAAUCUUCUGCAGCCUAGCGCAGCUUUGAAAACAGCAAAACGUCCUUCAAAGAAAUCUUCAACCGGGAAAGUUCUAGAUUUAUCAAAUUCUGAAAAUGAGUUAAAUACAUCAACCUGCACCAGUUUGAAAGAUACCUCUAAACUAAAUGAAAGUCAGGCCUGUCAACGGAACGACUUAUUUUUCAAGAAUGUUACAACAAGGAGAUGCGGCAGGAAGAAAUCAAUUAAGGAUUGUAACCUGGUGAAACACGUUCUAU
Molecule: long non-coding RNA, 1053 nt
Filed under: Bemisia tabaci
Lineage: Eukaryota; Metazoa; Arthropoda; Insecta; Hemiptera; Aleyrodidae
Description: lncRNA ENSSSA3NGG000987
Source: RNAcentral